UUGGAGGGCAAGUCUGGUGCCAGCAGCCGCGGUAAUUCCAGCUCCAAUAGCGUAUAUUAAAGUUGUUGCAGUUAAAAAGCUCGUAGUUGAAUUUCGGGAUUCGUCGGUUGGUCGGGCUUCACUGUCCGUACUGACCUGACGGGUUCCUACCUUCUGAAUAACCAGCAUGCUAUUAAGUUAGUGCGUUGGGGAAGCAGAGCUAUUACCUUGAAAAAAUUAGAGUGCUUAAAGCAGGCUUGUGCUUGAAUAGAUUAGCAUGGAAUAAUAAAAUAGGACGGCAUGGUUCUAUUUUGUUGGUUUCUAGGAUCACCGUAAUGAUUAAUAGGGAUAGUUGGGGGCAUUAGUAUUCAAUUGUCAGAGGUGAAAUUCUUGGAUUUAUUGAAGACUAACUUCUGCGAAAGCAUUUGCCAAGGAUGUUUUCAUUAAUCAAGAACGAAAGUUAGGGGAUCGAAGACGAUCAGAUACCGUCGUAGUCUUAACCAUAAACUAUGCCGACUAGGGAUCGGACGAUGUUAAUUUUUUAAUGACUCGUUCGGCGCCUUACGGGAAAC
Molecule: ribosomal RNA, 551 nt
Filed under: uncultured Acaulospora
Lineage: Eukaryota; Fungi; Glomeromycota; Glomeromycetes; Diversisporales; Acaulosporaceae
Description: SSU rRNA
Rfam family: Eukaryotic small subunit ribosomal RNA
Source: RNAcentral